GUCUGGCCAAAGUCUACGCUCCAUACAAAUUUCGAAAAUUUUAUAUGAACAAAAGUCUACGAGGGGGUAGGGGGGGUCUAAGAUGACCGAAAAAAAGUCUACGUAGUUUAUGGACAGCGCCUUAUUGGUUUUGUAAAUUUCACUGAAAUCAUUAUUUGGGAUUAAUUUCACGUCGAAUACAUCAAUACUAGCAUAAAAAAUAAUAAAUUUUUCUCUGCUUCGAUAUAACGUACACUUCGAUAUAACGUACAAAGAGAAAACUUUUUUGUACGUUAUAUCGAAGAGUACCUGUAUUGAAUUGCCAAACAGGUGCUUUCCAAGAGGAAGUGGACGUCCCAGCAUACCUAUAAUUAAUUUUUGAUUUUCGAUCGACAGCACGCAGCACCGAGCGUUGACUGACACACUAGUUUUCAAGACCCCUCGUUUCGGUGUUGUCGUUUGGGCAGAAUGCCCAAUGGAUGUAAUAAAAUCAGACGAAUCCUUUUAUCUUUUAGCGGUAAUGUCAGCGAUGGGAACAACUAAGCGGUUGAGAUUUUGACGUUUUUGGGAAUCGCAAUCGGUUGGCUUCACCGAACAAACGGAGAGUUUUGGGUCAUCAUCAAAGUCGUUAGAGCUUGGCCAUCACCAAAGUGGAUCAAGGUCGAUGUUAGACCUCCUGAUAGGUCCUAAAGUCGGUAGUGUCGGAAGAAAUGAACGCUUGAGCUCCAGGUGCAACGAUAAGGGUGGUUAGAAGGUACUGCGAAUUGUCAUGUUCUUGAAAGUAUCGGAAUCAAUGAGUUUUAGGUCGUUUUCUCGUAGCGGAUGGACGCUGAACUAUUCAAUCGUCGGUCUAAAUUUUUACUCCUGUGCUAUCUGAGCGUUUAGGUGUUUACAGCGUGACAAAUUUGCUGCGGGAAUCUGCUCAGCAAACUCAUGAGAGGAAGCUCGGGACAGGGACCUCCUUCGACGCCAACGAAGGAGAAAUGAUUACUUUCCGAUCUAACCCUGAACCGUUCCCAUUGCCGCCUAGCCCAUCGUUUAUACGGCACCACCAGAAGGUAUUACGUAUUACAUACCGUGAGGUGCCCUAAUUUCGUGUGGGUCCAAAUUUCGCUUACUGACAACAUUUUAAGAUCAUAACCAACGAACUAAUUGUGAAAUUGUGUGGCUCCGUGGUCGUGCGGCUAGGGUCACCAAGCUCUUAGGCGCAUCGUGCUGAGGAGCGCGGGUUCGAUUCUCGCCGCAGCUGUCAGGAAAAGUUUUCGGCUGUGCCACUGGGCGUUGCAUACUAGUCGGUUGUCUAGAGUCGUGCUUCCUUCAGAGCGAAAAGCUCACUGAAAAAAAAUGACCACAUUUCACUUUAGGUUCAGUGAUAUUUAUUUCAACAAUUACACAAUUAGUUCGUUGGUUAAGGUCUCUAAAUAUUGUCAGUUAGCGAAAUUUGGACCGGCACAAAAUUAGGGCACCACACGAUACUUCGGAUAACAGAUUGAAUUUAGGUUAGUUGCUCAGUCUCUACGAACUAGAAAUCCUAAUUAAAGAAUGUGCGUAGUUGACGGGUCUUGCUGAUCAUAGAAAUGCUUGUGUUAGAAAAAGGUGUGUGGAGUCUCGUACUCGUGCGAUUAGGCAGUGGGGUUCGAUUCUCGGUCGGCCCAGGAACUUUUCGUAAAGGAAAUUGCCUUGACUCCCUUAGGACGUAGAGUAUCUUCGUGCCAGCCACACUACACUUGCAAAAUGGUCAUUGCCAGAGGACGUAGAGCUGAGAGGCAGGCUUUGUUGAAGUGGGGACGUUACGCUAUGAAGAAGAAUUUCCUCGAUGGAGUAAAAAGAAAAAGAUCAUGAAGAUUUCGAAACUGUACUGAAAUAGUAACCGUGUAGUAGAAGCCUUAUACUAGGCUCCGGUUUAAAUGCAAUUUGGACUUAUAUCGUUUGACAUGUUCUGAACAAUUUUGUGGAUGAAAUACGCAACAUCCUGAGCUCCAUUGGCCAACCAUGAUUCUAGAGGACAUAAAGCAGAUAUAGAAGGUUACCUCUCAUGGCGCCUGUUAACCAAAGUCCCUAUCCUCAGAGUCAACCUGUUUGUGGAACUGCCUUACGCUCGCGUAAGUAUGCACGCCACCAAAAGGCCGAAAUCAGUGUAACUACCACAAAAGGUCGAAAGCACAAAAGGCCGAAGAGAACGAAAGGCCGAAUUAUGAAAGAUGCAUAUUAACUCGGUUGCCGUUUAGUUAAAUGCUCUAUCAAAUAAAAGAAUAUAUAAUAUAAAGCAAAGGUUGUUUAAUGUCGUUUUCGUUUUUGCGGCGGUGCUACACUUUUCACUGCAAAAACGAACAUUUUCGGUGCAGUUGCAUUGGUGUGCGUGAAUAAAAAUCAAAAUAUUUACAACUUUGCAAACGUUGAUUGGUGGACACGGUGUACACUCGCUACACUCUCGAAUUUUUGAGUGCUGCACUAUCUUGAGCGGUGCAGAAAAAGUGCUACACCGGUGUAGCACGAAAAUCAAAAACGAACACUUUCGGUGCAAAAGUGCUACACCGGUGUAGCAACACCGCAAAAACGAAAACGACAUAAGUAUUUAAUAACCUCAAAUUGAAUAGUUGUAUUUUUAGUAGUCCCACUACAACGUAAAAUGCACACAAAUGUGAAUCAUACGGCGUGGCCGCAUGGAGGAUUGAGGAACAGAGGCGGCAGAAGGCCUCUGAUGUAUCCGAUAUCCGAUGCACCGUAAUUGCAUCGAUUCGAAUUAAAGGAAAACAGUAGUUCCAAUAGUAUGCUAGAUAUAAUGCGAACAGAAGUUGCUAUCUUUUUUUAAGUCCGACGAGCUUUAGCGAGUUCGGAGAGCAAGCGUUUCCCCGAUAUAUAACAAACGAGGUUGUUCGGCCAGCUAUAUGGCCUUUCUAUCACUAUGUACUGCCGUUAUAAGCAUAUUAUUCCAUAUUCUGUAUAAUUAUCACUAUACAUGUCACAUUUGUAGACAAUGUAGUGUUUACCUAAUGAUUGUGUACAUAUAAUAUCUACCUACAUGAAAUACUUACUUAUGACGGUACCGUCGUGCGGGGCUUCUUUAUACACUUUUUCAUGGUUUUUCUACUUUAUGAUAUUAUAACUCGCAGAGUAGCGAAUGGAUUUCCACAAUUUUCACACACAUUAAUCGUGAGUAUGUAUGUAGGAUGUAUGCAAAAUUUGAACUAAAUCCAUCAAUAAACAAAAAAUUGUUCAUACACCAAUCGGACACAUCUCAUAUAGAACCGGAUGGGGGCUACUUUGGACAUUUUUAAUUAUAACAAAACUGCAUUUUAAAUUCCAGGGUUAUUUAGAAAAUUACUUUGUAUCAUUACUGUACUAUACUAUAUCAAACAUGAUUUCAAUAAAAAUAUGCGUUUUUAAAUAAUUCUGCGCUAUUUUUGGUAUUAUGAGCAGCGUAAUAUUAUAAUAUAGACAGCCUGAAAAAAAGGACCAUCAAUCCCUUAUUUAGCUGAAACGGUUAUUUAUAGUGUAUAAAGAUACAAAUAUUUGAUUGUAUAUGCUACGUUGAUACAUCUUGGAUGAAUUGAUCAACCCUUUGAAAUUUAUGAACUGUAAAAACAAUGCUUACAGAGCAAAUGUUCUGAUACGAUUUGUAUAUUUUUUUGGUGUACUCGAUGUUUUUUCGCCUCCUGACAAACAAUAAAGGGUUUGUUUGAAAAACAAUUCCAACCAAAUGAUGGGGGAAAUAUUGCAUCAUAAUAGUCCCAAAGAUAUCAAACAGAUUUGAACCAUACAUUGAAUUCAAAAAAUGCAUAUUCAAAAGUGUCCAAAGUAGCCCCGCAUUUCAAAAGUAGCCCCGCACGACGGUACCUAAAUGUCUGGGUAUGGUUCAUUAUGUCUACCUAAGGUAGUAUAAAUACUGGUGUUCAUUGGAUCACACAGCAGAGACUGCACAAGCCUUGGACUGUCAACAUCUUUAUUAUUCUUCUUUUGAAGGAUAUAAAAGUGGCGACGAGGAUCAAGGAGCGUGUGAUUUAUUUUGAGUUAUUGGAGAUUUUUCCUUUGGUUUUUCAGGUUGUUGUAAUAACGCAUUGUUAUUUUUGUGGAGAACGGAAUUGUUCUUUUAUGGUAGAAUUGCCAUUAUGAUGUGAACACAGGGGGAACGACACUAGUUUUGCCAAGCCAAAAAAGCUGAAAAAAGUCGCUAAAACCCGCAGAAAGAUUUGCGGGUUUUUCGGCUUGGCAGAACUAAUGUCGCUCCCCCCGUGUGAGCAUAAUGUUUUUUUGCCGAUGUUGCAUCGACGAAAUUGUGUUUCUGCUUUGGUGAUAACGAAUGGUUUUUUUUUAUGAACGAAAUUGUUCUUUUUUGGGCGGAUUUGUCAUAUGUGUAUGGAAUUGUGUUAUGUGUAUUUGGUAAAGUUACCGAUGUUGUGAUAGCGAAAUCGUCCUUUUGUUUUUGUGAUUUAACGAAUUGUUAUUUUUUGUGGUUACCUAUUUUGUUAGGGAACAGAAGUGUUCUUUGAAA
Long non-coding RNA from Aedes albopictus (Asian tiger mosquito), 4471 nucleotides. RefSeq lists it as uncharacterized. The transcript is spliced from 2 exons. Lineage: Eukaryota; Metazoa; Arthropoda; Insecta; Diptera; Culicidae. The record is from RefSeq and is a predicted model, not a curated record.